GGAUGAAAGACGCCAACGUCCGAACAAUGUUUGUCAGAAUUCCUACUCAAAAAGCGGCAUUACAACAUUUAAUUUUAGACAUUUGUUAAACUAUUUGAAUCAUAUAUUAAAGUACUUUGUGAAUCUCAGACUUUGGUCAAAUCAUUUCAAACACUAAAACAAUUUGUACAACUCAUAAAAGAUUUGAGGAAUUUCGAAAAGCGGACAUCAACGUUCCAGCUUUAGCGCCAAAUUACCUCUUUACACAUUUCUGUAGAAAAAAUGUGGCCGUCCCGAAAGCUGAGUAUGUUCUGGACAUUUUGAUAUGAAACACAUGGGGAUCGGUUCUGUGCAAAUACCCUAAAAAGGUCAAUUUAAGAAUUAGAAGUAGAAAUGAUUUACCA
Long non-coding RNA from Etheostoma spectabile (orangethroat darter), 383 nucleotides. RefSeq lists it as uncharacterized. NCBI's taxonomy places the organism in Eukaryota, Metazoa, Chordata, Actinopteri, Perciformes, Percidae. The transcript is spliced from 3 exons. The record is from RefSeq and is a predicted model, not a curated record.